UUUAGGUUAAGUCUUUUGAGAAGGAAAGGCAAACAGAGAAGCGUGUGCUGGAGUCCGAUCUUGUGGACCACGUUUUACAGAAACUGAGAACUAAAGUCAGUGAUGAAAGGAAUAUCAGAGACGCUUCCGAUAAUCUUGCAGUACAAAAUCAGAAGGGGUCAUUUUCUAAUGCUUCAGGUAUAAUUACUAAUUAUAAUCUGAACAUAACUGAUUGUGUUACAAACUGCUGUUUGCUCAAGACACUAAUGACUGUGGCUGUCUCCUUGUGACACUGGAAAUAGCUUUUUAAAGUAACUUGUAAACAACAAAUUGUACUAUAUGAAACCCUUGACUGGGAUUUAGGUGACUUCUGAUCUUGGUCUUACUAUCUUAUUUUUAUCUAAUCUUCUUUGACUCAGUUUACUAUCUAGAUGAAAUACGGAAUAAUUUUUCCACAAACUUUCCCCAUAUAGAGGACUGAAGAAAAGUAUUUGAACCCAGGUGUGUGGUCCACACUCAUAAUCCCAGCACUCGGGAAGCUGAGGCAAGAGGAUUGUGAGUUUGAGGCUAGCCUGGACUAUGUAGUGAGACCCUGUCUCAAAAAAUAAAAAUAAAAAUGAGUAAUAAUAAGAAAACAGGCCAAGAAAUGAUCUAGCUCUUAGAAUCAGACAAGCUAUCAUGAUUAGUAACUACUAAUAAACUGCUAUCUCUUGGUGGUAUGUUCUAGAAACUAGCACAGUAAGGCCAUAAAUUCUGAAACUUCCUUCUCAGGUUUGUUUGAAAUCCAUGGAGCAACAGUUGUUCCCAUUGUGAGUGUGAUAGCCCCAGAGAAGCUGUCAGCCAGCACGAGGAGGCGAUAUGAGACUCAGGUACAAACCCGACUUCAGACUACACUUGCCAAUUUGCAUCAGAAAAGCAGUGAAAUUGAAAUUCUGGCUGUAAGUCACUUUCUUUAACAUUUUGAAGAUAGCUUUUUCCAGUGUCUGGUUUGACUUGUGUUCAGGCUUUUUUGCUGUCAGCAAUAUUUGGUGCAGACCUGGUUGUUUCUGAUAUGAAUGAACCACAUACAAUCUAAACCUGGGGAGAAAACAGAAGGUUGUUUUUCUUUUUUCUUCUCUGAAAGGAGGGUGGGGGAAUAAAAACCAAAAUCAUUUUUCUGCAAGUUUCAAGUCUUUCCUUACUGAACCUAUACAAAGAACGUGUAGUAGUGCAGCCCCCACUGCUUGUUAGCUCACCCAUGCUGAUUUUAUCGCACCAUUCAUGAAGUCUGCUUUAUAGCAAAGUAGCAUGCUGCCAGCCCUGUUCAUACUGUCCAUCUAGACAAAUCUAUAGCCCCAGGUCAAUAUGUGCUGCUUUGAGUUCUGCAAUAGAUGUACAUUUCUGUGUGUUAACAGGUGGAUCUACCCAAAGAAACAAUCUUACAGUUUUUAUCACUAGAGGUAAGCACUAUGAACUGUUCUGCACCGUGGCUUUGCUGUUCAUUUGCCAAAGAAAAACAAGAAGUAUUAAGUUUUCUGAGAAAUACUACUGAUCUGGCAGACCACGAAUUUAGUAACUUUGGUCUUUUAUGUAUUCUUUGUAUUCUAAAAUCAAGGUUACCUAGCUAGCAAGUAGCAGAGCCAGGAUUGGAACUUACAGACUAGCAGGAUCUAUGUUCUAGAUUUAUUACAUCAAAGUUGAACAAAAGUAAUUUAUCACUUAGACAUCAGGUUUCACAUGGUUAAAAUGCAGGAAGGAAGGCCCAAGUAAAAAUGUUUUCUUUCUGGCUGAAGUUUGAUGGCAAAUAGCAAUAUCUGCUAUCUCUCACAUAAACCUUCACCUCAGCUAGGGAAGUUCAUUUGUGUAUUGGAACUAUAUACACCUUUUGUUAAAAAAUAAAAUUAAUUUCAUCCUUUUUUGUAUGGUUUUUAACAGGUACAUACUUUUAGCAUCAAAUAGCCUAAAUAAGAACUUUUAAAAUUUUGAAGUUUCCUUUGCUAGUAAGAAUACUUAAUUGUAGCUUCAGGUUAUUUUCUGCAACACUGCAUAUCAAAGAAUACUUUUUUGUCUAUCCAGGCGUUCAGUCACAGAUUAAGUUAGAUUAAAAGUGAACUGGCGGGCAAGGUGGUGCACGCCAGUAACCCCAGCACUCGGGAGGUGGAGGCGGAAGGAUCACUUUGUUCACGGCCAGUCUGGGCUGCAUAGCAAGACCCUGUCUCAAAAAAACAGUUUGCCCCAGAACUAUUACUCCAUAUUCCAUUUUCUGUUGCUCUUACUGGCAGUCUACUUUUUUGUGAUCCAUUUUGCACACAGUAAUAAACAGGCAGAAAUAACCCAUCCAAAGCCAUAUUAGCACAUGGUCAGGCAUUAGCAACCAGGGCUGUGCCACAGUUGAUCAGGCUCUAAUUAGGUACAUGUAGUCUUGGCUUACAGAUUGAUGCUUCAAAGGAGGAACCCCAGCAGUCUCCCACCAGCUCUACCAUCUCCCCAUCAUGGUUGUGAUUCUGAUGAUAUACCUGAAGCGGAGAAUGGAACUGGCAUUUCAUUAGUGACUCAGAAAAAGGCCAGGCAAACUCUACUGUCCUGUUAAGUCUUAUCUACUUUUUUCUAGUGGAUGCUGAUGAACAGGCAUUUAACACAACUGUGAAGCAGCUGCUGUCACGCCUACCAAAGCAAAGAUACCUCAACUAGUUUGUGAUGAAAUUUAUAAACAUCAAAGUUGAAAAAAAGUAAGUUAUCACUCAGGCAUAGCAGGCUUUACAUGGCUAAAAUUCAGAGGAUAAGCCAGACUGAGAAAGACAUGUCACGUUUUCAAAUGCAGAAUCUAGACCAAAAAAGAGUGACAUGAGUAUAAAAUGGAGGACUAAUUUGGGAGGGAACCAGGGAAAGGAGGAAGGAGGAGGGUGAAAGGAGAGGGUGAUGGGGGCAAUUAUUUUCAAAG
Non-coding RNA from Castor canadensis (American beaver), 2899 nucleotides. The record is from RefSeq and is a predicted model, not a curated record. Lineage: Eukaryota; Metazoa; Chordata; Mammalia; Rodentia; Castoridae.